Molecule: ribosomal RNA, 321 nt
Filed under: Bacillus sp. A0016
Lineage: Bacteria; Bacillati; Bacillota; Bacilli; Caryophanales; Bacillaceae
Description: bacterial SSU rRNA
Rfam family: Bacterial small subunit ribosomal RNA
Source: RNAcentral
GACGAACGCUGGCGGCGUGCCUAAUACAUGCAAGUCGAGCGGAUCUUUGGGAGCUUGCUCCCAAAGAUUAGCGGCGGACGGGUGAGUAACACGUGGGCAACCUGCCUAUGAGACUGGGAUAACUCCGGGAAACCGGGGCUAAUACCGGAUAAUUCUUUUCUACUCAUGUAGAAAAGCUGAAAGAUGGUUUCGGCUAUCACUCAUAGAUGGGCCCGCGGCGCAUUAGCUAGUUGGUGAGGUAACGGCUCACCAAGGCGACGAUGCGUAGCCGACCUGAGAGGGUGAUCGGCCACACUGGGACUGAGACACGGCCCAGACUCC